CUACUUACCUGACAGGAGAGACACCAUGAUCAGGGAGGUUUUCCCAGGGCGAGGCUCAUCCAAUGCACUGGGGAUGUGCUGACCCCUGAGAUUUCCCCAAAUGCAAGAAACGCAACUGCAUAAUUUGUGGUAGUAGGGGACUGUGUUCACACUCUCCCAUG
This is a small nuclear RNA of Nannospalax galili (Upper Galilee mountains blind mole rat), 161 nucleotides long. Its record names the gene U1. It matches the Rfam family "U1 spliceosomal RNA". Rfam says of the family: U1 is a small nuclear RNA (snRNA) component of the spliceosome (involved in pre-mRNA splicing). Its 5' end forms complementary base pairs with the 5' splice junction, thus defining the 5' donor site of an intron. There are significant differences in sequence and secondary structure between metazoan and yeast U1 snRNAs, the latter being much longer (568 nucleotides as compared to 164 nucleotides in human). NCBI's taxonomy places the organism in Eukaryota, Metazoa, Chordata, Mammalia, Rodentia, Spalacidae. The record is from Ensembl.